UGUCCAGUACACGUGCACUCAGCACAUCCCCA
Molecule: non-coding RNA, 32 nt
Filed under: Homo sapiens (human)
Lineage: Eukaryota; Metazoa; Chordata; Mammalia; Primates; Hominidae
Source: RNAcentral